RNAcentral lists this ribosomal RNA (497 nucleotides) under uncultured bacterium. RNAcentral's name for it is "partial 16S ribosomal RNA". It matches the Rfam family "Bacterial small subunit ribosomal RNA", at positions 28 to 507 of the family's 1533-position model. The record is from RNAcentral.
GAUGAACGCUGGCGGCGUGCCUAAUACAUGCAAGUCGAGCGAACGGACGAGAAGCUUGCUUCUCUGAUGUUAGCGGCGGACGGGUGAGUAACACGUGGAUAACCUACCUAUAAGACUGGGAUAACUUCGGGAAACCGGAGCUAAUACCGGAUAAUAUUUUGAACCGCAUGGUUCAAAAGUGAAAGACGGUCUUGCUGUCACUUAUAGAUGGAUCCGCGCUGCAUUAGCUAGUUGGUAAGGUAACGGCUUACCAAGGCAACGAUGCAUAGCCGACCUGAGAGGGUGAUCGGCCACACUGGAACUGAGACACGGUCCAGACUCCUACGGGAGGCAGCAGUAGGGAAUCUUCCGCAAUGGGCGAAAGCCUGACGGAGCAACGCUGCGUGAGUGAUGAAGGUCUUCGGAUCGUAAAACUCUGUUAUUAGGGAAGAACAUAUGUGUAAGUAACUGUGCACAUCUUGACGGUACCUAAUCAGAAAGCCCCGGCUAACUACGUG